RNAcentral lists this long non-coding RNA (873 nucleotides) under Cyanistes caeruleus (blue tit). RNAcentral's name for it is "lncRNA (ENSCCEG00000007933.1)". Lineage: Eukaryota; Metazoa; Chordata; Aves; Passeriformes; Paridae. The record is from RNAcentral.
AAAUUGUAAAACUGUGAUGGAGAGAUCCUGGCUGGUCUCUUGGCCCACAAAAGCUGCUCUAUCCCUCCCUUCCUCAGCUGGACGGGGGAAAGAAAAUAAAAUGAAAGGCUCAUGGGUCAACCUUUCUCUUGCUCCUGUCUCCCAGCUGCAGCUGUGCAGGUUUCUUCCCCCUCUUCAAAACACAGAGCCAGACAGAGUCUUCUAAGUUACCUUUUCUGCCACAGGACCCAUUCGCUAUGUGAUCAAAACAGAGCGUAUGACACACGCAGAUGAUUAAUGAUUGCAGUAAUUAAGAAGGUGGCUGAUUUUCACAUGUUAAGUCCUGGCUGUUCCCCUCUCGACCUCAGCUUCUGCAGUCAGAGACUCAUCCAUGACCAGAAGCACCCCUGGAAUGAGGUGCCAAGCAAUGAGCUGAUGCCUCAAAGUCAUCCAAGACUGAAAAAGGCUGGAUGGCCACAAAACCUCCUGGCAUGUGGAGCACAACCAUAACACCAAGAUGUGAAAGUUGCAAAAAGACAAAUCUGAAAGCUUUGGCAACUUUUCCUCCAUCAGGCAAACAGAUAUUGGCACCUGUGUCUGCUCAAGCUUUGCCUGCUGAUGUAAAGCCAGCCAGUUCAAGUCCUUCAAAUCCCAGCUGGUUCCUCAGGUACUGGCACCAAAAUUGAAGGAUGAAGAGUUUCUACAUAAACACUGACCACAGAGCAGGGCUGUGACAAGACACUGGAAACAGAUCAAGUGAGGACAAAAAUAUUUGUGUAUUCUUGGUCUUUCCUUUGACCUGCCACUUCUCAGGUGCUUCAGGAGGCACUGUACCACUGACUGAGGGGACAGAAAAGAAAUCCCUAAACCAAAACACAGAGAAUAAAUCAGAAU